UAUUAUGUUUGGAGUUUGUGUUUCUGCUGCCUUGGCUAGGUCUCCCUUGAGAAGGUGACCUCUGUGGGACCUCCUGGUUAAAUCAAGCACAAUGUGGCAGACGGGGAGAGAUGACUUGGAUUCAUCUCACUGUACAAUCAAUGAAACACAGGAUCCGUUCCCACAGUGCUGACGACACAAACAUGAUCUUCCGCCCACACAAACAGAUGCACACAUCCAACUCCACUCAUCAAAGUGGAUGCUGCCUCAUACCUACAGCAGCAAUCAGACAAAGAGAUCCAGCAUUACCUUCUUAGGCGAUUUGAGUUACAGUAGCUCACCUGUUGGAUUGGACCACAGGGGCCAACUUCGCUCCAUGACCCUGUCACUGGUUCACCACUCUUCCUUUCUUCAACCACUAUGGAUACCAACUACCUAGACCAUGAACACCCUACAAGAGCUCCCUCCAUUCCACCACAUCCCAAAGGUGCUCUAUUGGAUUGAGAUCAUGUUCAAGAAACUUAAAAGAAACCCGAGCUAAGUAACACGGAGAAUCUUAAAUUAUCCAAUUUUGUUGAGACUGGAUGAGUUAUAGCCUCAGUUUCCUGUUCUUUGCUGAGAAGUUGAGUGUAGCCAGUGUGGUUGUCUGCUGCAAUAGCUCAUCUGCUGCAAGGUUUAAUGUUUUGUACUAUCACACAUGCUCUUCUGCAGACCUUGGUUGUAAUGAGUGGUUAUUUGAGUUACUGUUCCCUUCCUAUCAGCACCAACCAUGUGGCAGAACCGUGUCAGACUAAACAAAAUCGCCUUUCUUCCCCCAAUUUGUUGCUCAGUUUGAACUUCAGUGUUUUUUUGACCAUGUCUACAUGCCUAAAUACAUUGGGUUGCUGCCAUGUCACUGGCUGAUUAUAUAUUUGUGUGAUCGAGCACCUGAAUAGGUGUACCCAAUAAAGUUUGUGGUGAGAGUGGUGUGACCUGUGA
Molecule: non-coding RNA, 957 nt
Organism: Neolamprologus brichardi
Lineage: Eukaryota; Metazoa; Chordata; Actinopteri; Cichliformes; Cichlidae
Source: RefSeq, a predicted model, not a curated record